Molecule: unclassified non-coding RNA, 366 nt
Filed under: soil metagenome
Description: partial contains 5.8S ribosomal RNA, internal transcribed spacer 2, and large subunit ribosomal RNA
Rfam family: 5.8S ribosomal RNA (bases 1-120)
Source: RNAcentral
GAUGAAGAACGCAGCGAAAUGCGAUAAGUAGUGUGAAUUGCAGAAUUCCGUGAAUCAUCGAAUCUUUGAACGCACAUUGCGCCCCCUGGUAUUCCGGGGGGCAUGCCUGUCCGAGCGUCAUUACAACCCUCAAGCCCGGCUUGUGUAAUGGGCGGCCGUCUCUCCCCCCGGGGGGAGACGCCCCCGAAACUCAGUGGGGAUGUCGCGAUACCGAAGCCUCAGCUAAUGGGUAAACCACAGCUGCAAUGGCCGCGGCCGGCGUCCGCCUUCCACGGUCCGUCCGCCUAGCGCGGGCGGCCUUCUCAAGGUUGACCUCGGAUCAGGUAGGGAUACCCGCUGAACUUAAGCAUAUCAAUAAGCGGAGGA